Long non-coding RNA from Acanthochromis polyacanthus (spiny chromis), 514 nucleotides. RefSeq lists it as uncharacterized. Lineage: Eukaryota; Metazoa; Chordata; Actinopteri; Pomacentridae. The record is from RefSeq and is a predicted model, not a curated record. The transcript is spliced from 3 exons.
AAGCACGGGCAUGGUAGAUGAAAAAACAGUGAGGAGCUGUAUACACGUCGAGAAAAACGCUUAUGGUGGAGUAUUGUUCAUUUUGGAUGAAUGCAGAGUUUAUCCGCUGGAUUUGGACUUACUGUAACCUGUCGAAGUAGACUGAGGACCAGGAAGCUCUCCUUGGACCCGGUAGAAGUGGGUAGCUGUCGUCACAGUCCUGCUAUCGUUCCUGCUCAUCUGAGAUGUUGCCGCUGCUGAGAAUCUGCCAGUGACCUCGCUCGUUUCCCUCGCUUUUCAUUGCUGGUUUGCCUGUUUCGCCCGCUCAUCCCGGUGACUGUUGGGUCCACGCUCCAAGAUCCAGUCAGUGUUGCAGUGAUGUGGGAAGCUCUGGCCACCAAAUACCUGACUAAUUACAUCAAAAGGUGAAUAAAUGUUGAUGGCAAAAAAUGCAAUAAGUAAGCACUUCUGAAACAAACCAAAUUCCCCAAUUUCCUUCAGGAUCUGUCCAAAGUUGCUCAUCGUGAUGUGUGGU